Molecule: long non-coding RNA, 1160 nt
Filed under: Salmo salar (Atlantic salmon)
Lineage: Eukaryota; Metazoa; Chordata; Actinopteri; Salmoniformes; Salmonidae
Description: lncRNA (ENSSSAG00000089288.1)
Source: RNAcentral
UGGCUCUGAGCUUCAUGGUGUCUAACGUCGCCGGAAAAAGGACUUCCUUAAGCUGGUGUCUGAUCAUUUACCCUUCUCCACUGCACUCCCCCCUCAUUGAUUUGAAAGGAAUGGACUUGUGUAAGAAAUCUGGUGGAGUGAGCAAGUAAUAAGCAGAAAGGUAGGGAAUUGGAACGUCGCCCUACACACCCACACUGCUGGGUUCUUAUCAGCUUCCCCAGACGACGUAGCUGUAAAGCCUAGGAAGGGAAACCAACAACUUCCAUCAUCUGUCUACACUAGCAAUAACACCUGGGCUGUGUUCAUUAGGCACCAAAUGGAAGAAAACGGACUGAAACAGGAAGGGUAUACCUGGACCUGUGUAAUAUGUUAAAUUGUCACACGAGGGCAGUGUUGCACAGCAGAGCUACCACAUUAGAGACUCAUGAAUUCUCCUCGCCUCUCUUGCCAGUAGUCACUACUGCUCUUCAAUCUGGCUUUAUGAAAAGUAUUGGGAAUAUUGUAUGUUGUCGAGUACACCAUGAGUUAGAUUAGUAGGGUUUCAUCCAGUAUUUGUUUUCCUUUCAAAUACUUUAGCUGCGCUUGAUUGAGCUUGCCUGGCGCCAUGGAACCAAUGAAAUAGUCCCAAAUGUACUUCAAAACACGCCCAUGUGGCACUCCAGUCAGGCUCAAUGAAACGCAAUGCAAUUCAAAAAGUAUUCAAAAAAAUGUAUGAAUCCUAUUUGGACCCUGAUCUGGUUUAAUCACAGUAUACUUUCUCUGUGUGUGAUGCUCUUUGAGUUUGUCUUCCUGUGUGUCUUAAUGCCCCUUUUGAGGUCUUAUUAUUCUGCUCUGCUUUUGGUUGUUUUAUAUAAAAAGUUGUGACACUGGGUAUUUAAUAAUGAUUUAACGGUGUACUUCCUGGUUAUUGUCCUCUCACCCUUUGGUUUGAGUCUGUAGUCCAACCAGCUCAGCCAGCCUUUCAAACUGCCGCUCACUGUAGUCGAUGAGAAACAAACAGUACUCAAAAUAACAUUUAAAUAAUGUCUUUGUAUGAUAUGCUAAAAACUAUGUAUGUGCGUAUAAUUUUUUCAGUUUUUAAAAUUAAAUAUUUCAACUCAUUAAUAUGACAAACCUGUUUUUUUUUUUUGUUUUUUGCUCACUUCAAUGCAGACUGACCU